Molecule: non-coding RNA, 31 nt
Filed under: Mus musculus (house mouse)
Lineage: Eukaryota; Metazoa; Chordata; Mammalia; Rodentia; Muridae
Source: RNAcentral
UCCAAUGUCUUGCCAAGAGGUGGCACUUUUG